AGGAAAAGGGACAACUACAUGCAGUCGAGGGGUAACAGAGAGAAGCUUGCUUCUUUGCUGACGACCGGCGAACGGGUGCGUAACGCGUAUAGAAUCUGCCUUGUACAGGAGGAUAGCCUUUAGAAAUGAAGAUUAAUACUCCAUAAUAUUGGGAAGUGGCAUCACUAUCUAAUUAAACAUUUAUGGGUACAAGAUGACUAUGCGUCCUAUUAGCUAGAUGGUAAGGUAACGGCUUACCAUGGCAACGAUAGGUAGGGGGUCUGAGAGGAUUAUCCCCCACACUGGUACUGAGACACGGACCAGACUCCUACGGGAGGCAGCAGUGAGGAAUAUUGGUCAAUGGAGGCAACUCUGAACCAGCCAUGCCGCGUGCAGGAAGACUGCCCUAUGGGUUGUAAACUGCUUUUAUACAGGAAGAAACAGUCGUACGUGUACGGCCUUGACGGUACUGUAAGAAUAAGCACCGGCUAACUCCGUGCCAGCAGCCGCGGUAAUACGGAGGGUGCAAGCGUUAUCCGGAAUCAUUGGGUUUAAAGGGUCCGCAGGCGGUCAAUUAAGUCAGAGGUGAAAUCCCAUAGCUUAACUAUGGAACUGCCUUUGAUACUGGUUGACUUGAGUUAUACGGAAGUAGAUAGAAUAAGUAGUGUAGCGGUGAAAUGCAUAGAUAUUACUUAGAAUACCGAUUGCGAAGGCAGUCUACUACGUAUAUACUGACGCUCAUGGACGAAAGCGUGGGGAGCGAACAGGAUUAGAUACCCUGGUAGUCCACGCCGUAAACGAUGGAUACUAGUUGUUGGGAUUUAUCUCAGUGACUAAGCGAAAGUGAUAAGUAUCCCACCUGGGGAGUACGGUCGCAAGACUGAAACUCAAAGGAAUUGACGGGGGCCCGCACAAGCGGUGGAGCAUGUGGUUUAAUUCGAUGAUACGCGAGGAACCUUACCAGGGCUUAAAUGUAGAGUGACAGGGCUAGAGAUAGCUUUUUCUUCGGACACUUUACAAGGUGCUGCAUGGUUGUCGUCAGCUCGUGCCGUGAGGUGUCAGGUUAAGUCCUAUAACGAGCGCAACCCCUAUCGUUAGUUGCUAACAAGUAAUGUUGAGGACUCUAGCGAGACUGCCGGUGCAAACCGCGAGGAAGGUGGGGAUGACGUCAAUCAUCACGGCCCUUACGUCCUGGGCUAACCACGUGCUACAAGGGAUGGACAAUGAGCAGCCACUAUGCAAAUAGGACCGAAUCUUAAACCAUAUCCCAU
This 1250-nucleotide ribosomal RNA is filed under the name Tenacibaculum sp. MaPt3. RNAcentral's name for it is "bacterial SSU rRNA". It matches the Rfam family "Bacterial small subunit ribosomal RNA", at positions 38 to 1291 of the family's 1533-position model. The record is from RNAcentral. Lineage: Bacteria; Pseudomonadati; Bacteroidota; Flavobacteriia; Flavobacteriales; Flavobacteriaceae.